Molecule: long non-coding RNA, 1033 nt
Organism: Parus major (Great Tit)
Lineage: Eukaryota; Metazoa; Chordata; Aves; Passeriformes; Paridae
Exons: 6
Source: RefSeq, a predicted model, not a curated record
CCGGCCCGGCCCGGCCGCGCCCCCGCCGCGGAAAGACUCCCCCGCCGCCAAGAGUGGGGCCCCGGCAGCCCCGGGCCUGCCCGCAGCGAGAACCGGGUAGGCGGGUCUGUUCCCUUUUCUCCUUGGAGCUGUAAGUCCUCGGGUCACAAGAUCACGAAAGAAACAUUUAGAGAAACCUUCAGACCCACAAAAGCAUGAAUACUUCAGUCUGAAGUCUUCAGUCUUCAAAUGGAAUUCAAUCUGAAGGACACUUACGGACUGCACACAUUACCUGUAACUGAAGUGUGACAAUAAUCUUUUGGCCAUCUUAUUGCAGAAGUAUGAGAACAAGUAACUUUAAACAGCAAGUCAAGCAGCAGCCUUCAUUGUGUCUGAAUUCCUCAAGAAGAGCUUCUCAGGAAUCAUUAACCAGAUUUACAGGCUUGAACAACUCUUCAAUGAUAAAAACAGGAGUGUGUGGUGUUUAAACCUUGAACAUAUCUGCCACAAAUGAUGAGUCAGAUACCUACUAACUCACUGAAGUAUUAACCUAAAAAAGACAGUAAGUUUCCAGAAGAAAAGUAACAGAUUGACGGGGUCAAGCUUCCACAUAAUUCAUUACUUCAUACAUCAUCAAUGCAGCUGGUUACAGUGAAGAAUGGUUUAAAGAAGCAAUUCAUCUCCCCUUCUAUUCCUCCCAUUUCAACAUCAAAAUGGAUUUUCUGCUGGAAAUAGCAAGUCAGUGUCUUUGCAAGCCCUGCAGCUCUCUGUUGAUCGUGUUAUCCAUAAACUACAGAUUGCCCAUUUCCAAAACAGGUUUCCCAGGUCAUUGCUCUACUCCUCCAGCCAGAAUUUCAAAAGGCACCAUUUGUCCCAAUUCACAGUUUGGCAGAAGCUGUCAAUAAACAUCAUAUGUGAUUUAAGCCUGGAAACCAAUGAAGCUUUGUCAAUCCUUUCCCAUCAGAUCCUCUACAACCUCAUUUCAAAGGAUUUUCCCAGUUCUACAACCAAUGUAAAAGCCUUCCUCACUCUGUAAAUAAAUCUUGACACUUCA